Salvia splendens (bonfire salvia) is the source of this 1747-nucleotide RNA transcript. It is a transcript of the gene named receptor-like protein 35, with no coding region annotated. Lineage: Eukaryota; Viridiplantae; Streptophyta; Magnoliopsida; Lamiales; Lamiaceae. The record is from RefSeq and is a predicted model, not a curated record. The transcript is spliced from 3 exons.
GAACACCGUCUACCAAAUGAAACUAAACAGAAAAGUAAUGGAGAAUUUUAUUUUGUCAUUUGCCGUUUCAGUCUUGUUAUUACAUAGCUUUGCCCUCUCCUUGAAUUCUAUCACCACUGAUAAGCAUGCCCUUAUUCCCUCAAAAACUCCAUCACUUCUGACCCUUAUGCUAUCUUGAGCACCAAUUGGUCUCAAAACACAUCAGUCUGUGAUUGGAUUGGUGUGUCGUGCGGCCUCAAACACCUCCGUGUCACGUCUCUCAAUCUCUCCAGCUACGACCUUGUUGGAACUGUUGCUCCACAUCUCGGAAACCUUAGGUUUCUCAGAUAUUUGGACAUCAGUUUCAACAAUUUCAAGGGGAUCUUACCCUUUGAGCUCUCUAAACUGCAUCAUUUGAAUGUGAUAAAUGUGGGAGCAAAUUCAUUCACUGGAAAAAUACCCACAUGGUUGGGCAGUUUACCUCAAUUAGAGAAACUCUAUUUGUACAAUAAUACUUUCUUAGGUACAAUUCCUUCAUCUUUGUCUAACCAGAUGUUACAAAUAUUAAACUUAAACUAUAACCAGUUGAGUGGGUCCAUACCAUAUGCUAUUUUCAAUGUGUCUUCCCUUACAGAAAUUAGAAUUAGAAAUAAUAGCCUAUCUGGUUGGCUACCGAGUGAUAUGUGUGAUAAUCUCCCAAAUAUUGAAGCACUUGAUAUUUCGGCCAACCAACUUUCUGGACAAAUUCCACCCAACAUAUGGAAAUGCAGAUAUCUUCAAGAGCUGGAAUUAUCUAUCAAUCAUUUCAAUGGAAAAAUCCCAAGUGAAAUUGGAAGUUUGAGUAUGCUUAAAGAGCUGUACUUGGGCCUUAACAAUUUCAGAGGAAUGAUCCCUGAAGAAAUAGGAAAUCUUUCACAGUUAGAGGUGUUGAGCAUCCCAUCCUCCUCUCUGACCGGAAAUAUUCCAUCUUCAGUGUUCAAUAUAUCUUCGUUGAAAUUCAUGAUCCUAUCAAAUAACAGUUUGUCUGGAAAUAUGUGAACUUUUCUCAAUCUGCCUUUGUUAGAGGAGUUAUAUCUGGAUCAUAACAACUUACAAGGUCAGAUUCCACUAAAUGUAUGGAAAUGCAAACAUGUUGAGAUCUUGUACCUAAACAACAACAAUCUCAGUGGUUAUGAUCUUGCUGGACCUGUUUCUCCACAUCUCGGAAACCUUUCGUUUCUCAGAUAUUUGGAUAUCAGUUCUAACAGUUUCACGGGGAUCCUACCCUUUGAGCUAUCUAAACUGCGUCGUUUGAAGGUGAUGAAUGUGGGAGCAAAUUCAAUCACCGGAGAAAUACCAACAUGGCUGGGGAAUUUACCUCAACUUGAGAAACUCUAUUUGUACACUAAUAAGCUGAGUGGGUCCAUACCACAUAGUAUUUUCAAUGUGUAGAAAUUAGGAUUGGAAAUAAUAGCCUAUCAGGUUGGCUCCCAAGUGAUAUGUGCAAUAAUAAGCCCAACAUCAGAAUCAUGUUACUUUCAUGGAACCAACUUGAAGGACAAAUUCCGCUAAAUAUAUGGAAAUGCACACGGCUUCAGAUCCUCUCAUUAUCCUUCCACAAUUUCAAUGGCAACAUCCCAACUGAAAUUGGACGAUUGGGAAGGCUUACAAACUUGUACUUGGGACAUAUCAAUGGUUAUCGAGGUAUAAAUUUCGUUUUACUCCAAUAUGUGAUUCUAUUGAAUAUGUAUGCAAAAUUGAUCAUCAUCUUCACACCAAAAAAUUAUUU